RNAcentral lists this ribosomal RNA (605 nucleotides) under uncultured marine bacterium. Its description in RNAcentral is "bacterial SSU rRNA". It matches the Rfam family "Bacterial small subunit ribosomal RNA", at positions 147 to 786 of the family's 1533-position model. The record is from RNAcentral.
CAGUUGGAACGGCUGCUAAUACCCUAUAUGUCGAAAGAUGAAAGGUUUUCCGCCUAGAGAAGAGCUUGCGUCUGAUUAGUUAGUUGGUAAGGUAAUGGCUUACCAAGACGAAGAUCAGUAGCUGGUUUGAGAGGAUGAUCAGCCACACUGGAACUGAGACACGGUCCAGACUCCUACGGGAGGCAGCAGUGGGGAAUUUUCUGCAAUGGGCGAAAGCCUGACAGAGCAAUACUGCGUGAGGGAUGACGGCUUUCGAGUUGUAAACCUCUUUUAUCAAGGAAGAAGAUCUGACGUUACUUGAUGAAUAAGCAUCGGCUAACUCCGUGCCAGCAGCCGCGGUAAUACGGAGGAUGCAAGUGUUAUCCGGAAUCACUGGGCGUAAAGCGUCUGUAGGUGGUUUAGAAAGUCUGUUGUUAAAGGCUGAGGCUCAACCUUGGUAUGGCAAUAGAUACUACUAGACUAGAGGAUUGUAGAGGUAGAGGGAAUUUCCAGUGGAGCGGUGAAAUGCGUAGAGAUUGGAAAGAACACCAAAGGCGAAGGCACUCUACUGGGCAAUACCUGACACUGAGAGACGAAAGCUAGGGUAGCAAAUGGGAUUAGAUACC